UACGAAGGGGGCUAGCGUUGUUCGGAUUUACUGGGCGUAAAGCGCACGUAGGCGGUUUGUUAAGUCAGGGGUGAAAUCCCGGAGCUCAACUCCGGAACUGCCUUUGAUACUGGCAAGCUAGAGUCCGGAAGAGGGUAAGUGGAACUCCUAGUGUAGAGGUGGAAUUCGUAGAUAUUAGGAAGAACACCAGUGGCGAAGGCGGCUUACUGGUCCGGAACUGACGCUGAGGUGCGAAAGCGUGGGGAGGCAAACAGG
This 255-nucleotide ribosomal RNA is filed under the name uncultured bacterium. RNAcentral describes it as "partial 16S ribosomal RNA". It matches the Rfam family "Bacterial small subunit ribosomal RNA", at positions 524 to 776 of the family's 1533-position model. The record is from RNAcentral.